AGGUCUAUACUGGGCGCCCGCUGCGUGCCAGGUACUGCCACCGGCUCUCUCCUCACGGUGGAAUAACUUAACAGAGAAGACAGACAUCAAUCAAAUACCCUGGAAACGUGGAAGGCAGGGGAAAGAACAAAGGGAGAGCAAAAUCGCCCCAAUCCCACAUCACCCGCGACGUGAAAGGAUUUGUCCUUCCAGCUGCGGGACUCCUAUUUGUUUAUUUCAACCCCGCGCCAGCUCCAGGCACAGCCGUUCAGGGUGAUGCCAAAGGGAAAUGAGAACGCCUGGUUUCGAGUGCCAGCCUGAGGCCCCUUAAGCCCUAGUGACCAAAACAAGCCACAUGACAAUCUGUCUUCAAGGGGACAGACAGUGCAAGUCUGUCACUGGUUUCUG
This 387-nucleotide long non-coding RNA is filed under the name Homo sapiens (human). Its description in RNAcentral is "non-protein coding lnc-GPR27-1:2". Lineage: Eukaryota; Metazoa; Chordata; Mammalia; Primates; Hominidae. The record is from RNAcentral.